Molecule: unclassified non-coding RNA, 307 nt
Filed under: plant metagenome
Description: partial contains 5.8S ribosomal RNA, internal transcribed spacer 2, and large subunit ribosomal RNA
Rfam family: 5.8S ribosomal RNA (bases 1-105)
Source: RNAcentral
GAAAUGCGAUAAGUAAUGUGAAUUGCAGAAUUCAGUGAAUCAUCGAAUCUUUGAACGCACAUUGCGCCCGCCAGCACUCUGGCGGGCAUGCCUGUUCGAGCGUCAUUUCAACCCUCAGAACCCCUUGCGGGAUCUGGCGUUGGGGAUUGGCAUCCAGCCAGCCCCGAAAUCUAGUGGCGGUCCCUCCGCGACCUCCCCUGUGCAGUAGCGAUACCUCGCAGCGGGACAGCGGUCUGACCACGCCGUAAAACCCCCAACUUCUCAAGGUAGACCUCGAAUCAGGUAGGAAUUCCCGCUGAACUUAAGC